GACGGCAAGCCAGACGCAAGGCUGCGUGCCUAUAAACGUCUCAGGCCAAAAUAUGUCGAGGGGCUUGCACACGCGCAGCGGGACGAUGUUAUUCUGGCC
RNAcentral lists this small RNA (99 nucleotides) under Sinorhizobium meliloti 2011. RNAcentral's name for it is "putative ncRNA". The record is from RNAcentral. Lineage: Bacteria; Pseudomonadati; Pseudomonadota; Alphaproteobacteria; Hyphomicrobiales; Rhizobiaceae.